UGGAUUGAAAAGAAUUUCGUUUGCGACCGAGCUCAUUCAACAUAAGGUUACAAACAGUGGCAAGUUGUAGACAGAGAGAUUGUGUAAGUUGCAGAAGGAGAGAUCACAAAAGUUGUAGAUGACGGUCCUCGAUGGUGUAGGCAAUGGCGGAGACAAGACCAAGAUCUUGAGCUACCCCUAUUCUCUAGGUUAAGGAAGAUUGGAGACGACAUGUUUGGAAAGUGUUGGUGGUCCUGGCCUAGUACUGAGUCAGGUCAGCAGUAACCGAGCCUAGACUUGUCGUUCAUUAUUGCGCCAAAAAUGGAAAAGGGGCCCAAAAACCAACCUGACCUAAUAUUGGCACAAGCCGCAACUAACUCACCAAAACCAAUGGAAAAAUGCUGUUCCCACUUCUGCCUUUGCUAUCGGGUUUGCAGGUCAUUGGGUUGAAAAGAAUUUCAUUUGUGACCGAGCCCAUUCAAAAUAAGGUUACAAACAGUGGCAAGUUGUAGACAGAGAGAUUGUGUGAGUUGCAGACAGAGAGAUCACAAAAGUUGUAGAUGACGGUCCUCGAUGGUGUAGGCAAUGGCGGAGACAAGACCAAGAUCUUGAGCUACCUCUAUUCUCUAGGUUAGGGAAGAUUGGAGACAACAUGUUUGGAAAGUGUUGGUGGUCCUGGCCUAGUACUGAGUCAGGUCAGCAGUAACCGAGCCUAGACUUGUCGUUCAUUAUUGCCCCAAAAAUGGAAAAGGGGCCCAAAAACCAAUCUAACCUAAUAUUGGCACAAGCCGCAACUAACUCACCAAAACCAAUGGAAAAAUGUUGUUCCCACUUUUGCCUUUGCUACGAAACACCAGUAAAUUACACAUUUACCCCCACCGGCAAUUAACUGCUGCCGGAUUUACACUAAAAAAACAUGAAAUUUCGGCAGUUAACUGCCGCGGAAUAAGGAAUUUCUAGCCGCCGGGUGAGUUUUUUAGCAAACUCAAAAGUGGGAACAGAAACUAUCAAACUAAUGACCCCACUUCCUGCCCAUCUCAAAAGGGCCAUUGGACCUAAUUGGGCCCUAAAUAUCUCGUUUUGGUUUGGGUCAGAUUAGGAGGCUUGGAUUUGAACUUGCCCGUCGUCCAGCCUUACUUCUGUGUGACCAAAACAUAGUUUUAACUUUUAAUGACGUC
RNAcentral lists this long non-coding RNA (1157 nucleotides) under Medicago truncatula (barrel medic). Its description in RNAcentral is "long non-coding RNA (MTRU_LNC005782)". The record is from RNAcentral. Lineage: Eukaryota; Viridiplantae; Streptophyta; Magnoliopsida; Fabales; Fabaceae.